This 724-nucleotide ribosomal RNA is filed under the name uncultured bacterium. RNAcentral's name for it is "bacterial SSU rRNA". It matches the Rfam family "Bacterial small subunit ribosomal RNA", at positions 777 to 1533 of the family's 1533-position model. The record is from RNAcentral.
AUUAGAUACCCUGGUAGUCCACACAGUAAACGAUGAAUACUCGCUGUUUGCGAUAUACGGCAAGCGGCCAAGCGAAAGCAUUAAGUAUUCCACCCGGGGAGUACGCCGGCAACGGUGAAACUCAAAGGAAUUGACGGGGGCCCGCACAAGCGGAGGAACAUGUGGUUUAAUUCGAUGAUACGCGAGGAACCUUACCCGGGCUUAAAUUGCACCUGAAUAACGUGGAAACAUGUUAGCCGCAAGGCAGGUGUGAAGGUGCUGCAUGGUUGUCGUCAGCUCGUGCCGUGAGGUGUCGGCUUAAGUGCCAUAACGAGCGCAACCCUUAUCUUCAGUUACUAACAGGUUAUGCUGAGGACUCUGGAGAGACUGCCGUCGUAAGAUGUGAGGAAGGUGGGGAUGACGUCAAAUCAGCACGGCCCUUACGUCCGGGGCUACACACGUGUUACAAUGGGGGGUACAGAAGGCCGCUACCUGGUGACAGGAUGCUAAUCCCAAAAACCUCUCUCAGUUCGGAUCGAAGUCUGCAACCCGACUUCGUGAAGCUGGAUUCGCUAGUAAUCGCGCAUCAGCCAUGGGCGCGGUGAAUUACGUUCCCGGGCCUUGUACACACCGNCCCGUCAAGCCAUGAAAGCCCGGGGGUACCCUGAAGUACGUAACCGCAAGGAGCGUCCUAGGGUAAAACUGGUAAUUGGGGCUAAGUCGUAACAAGGUAAACCGAAUUUCA